CCAGAGCGCCGCGGAGCACUCCCGUAAGGCGUCCUCCCGCAAACCGUUCCUGUAGCGCAAAGGGUUCCGCUCUGGUCGCAGGCUGAAGGUCGCCACGGAGCGUAACCUGAGAAUGCUCAACCUGAAAUGACUUCAACCCAAGACAGUUUGCUGCUUCGCUCAAAACCUCUGCCACAGUAUCCUUGUGAGAAGCUGGUGACAAGGGAUCCCUGUAGCUUGUGAGCUGUGGUGCUGGAGUGUGGCGUAAUCAACACUCAUUGCUCCAGUUGAGAAAUAUUGACGGCUUUCCCUCCACCUCUUAUGACGUCACACUGGGAAGCUGUUGUCGGAGCUGUUGCCAUGGGGACACUAGCAAUGCUACUGUGCUUGCUGGCAUCUGUCAUGCUCCUCUCGGUCUUUUGUGUGACUCAGGGAAUGCAUGCUGCUAGACAGCCCCCCACCCUCCCUUGCCCCGUAACACACAUCACUGGGCAGCUUGGCAGAAGGACAUCAGUGAUUCAGAAGGUCACUUGGAUUGUGCAGUUCCAAAGCUUGCACAGGAGAGGCCCAGGGAAAGAAUGUAAUACAUGGGGUGGGGUGGGCAUUGGGAAGAACAUAGAUGAACCUUGCUGGAUCAAACCAAAGUGCCAGCAUCCUGUUCUCACAGUAACAACCAGGUGUGCCAAUGGGAAGCCUGCAAGCAAGAACUGAGUGCAACAGUGCUCUCCCCACUUAGGAACAAAGGAAGGUGCCUUCCACCAGGUCAGACCUUGAUCAAUGUAGCUCAGUAUUGUCUAUACUGACUGGUGGCGGCAGCAGCAAGUCUCCAGGGCUUCAGGCAGGGGACAUGCAAUAGCCCAUCUAGUCCAGCAUCCUGUACGUUUAUUUUGUGUGUCCUGAUUCUUCCAAUGUUCAGCUUCAUUGGAUAAUGAUAAAGAACCACCAGAAGAGAGAACACCAGGGACCCUUAAGCUGCCCAUCAGCAGCUAGUAUCCGACAGCAGACUAAGAAGACACACACUUACCUUGGACCUUCCCCACUAUGUGUAUGUCUGUUUACACUGAAGUAUUUAUAAAUCUGCAUCUAAAUGCGAACGUCAGAACCUGCACUUUAUGUCAAACACUUCCUUUGGUGACAUUUAAGCUGCCAGCUGAGAUGCACUCA
Podarcis muralis (Common wall lizard) is the source of this 1143-nucleotide non-coding RNA. Lineage: Eukaryota; Metazoa; Chordata; Lepidosauria; Squamata; Lacertidae. The record is from RefSeq and is a predicted model, not a curated record.